Molecule: long non-coding RNA, 314 nt
Organism: Ooceraea biroi (clonal raider ant)
Lineage: Eukaryota; Metazoa; Arthropoda; Insecta; Hymenoptera; Formicidae
Source: RefSeq, a predicted model, not a curated record
AACAUGGCGGGCGCGUGUCGCGUUUGACGGGUGCAGUCGUGGUCGCGUGGAGAGAAGAGGUUCGCGCGGGGGCACGGAGCGCCGAAUCGCGUGAGGUGAACGAGUGCGUCGGGACGCGCCGCGCGGCAUUGUCGCAUCGCUCGCGGGAAGGAACGUCCGUCGGCCAUCCUGGAGAUCGAGACUCGGGGAACGCACGCCUACCGAUGUUAAUCUGGUGAUAUGGUGAUUUAGAAAUCUAUGGUUUCUAAUGUGUGAUUCUAUAUUCUAAUUAUAUUCUACACCCUCAGAAAGAUUUCUGAUAACAAGACGAAAAA